UGAGCAAUCUGCCCUUCUCAUCGGAAUAAGCGUUGGAAACGACGUCUAAUGCCGAAUACGACCUCCUUUCGCAUGAUCGGAGGUGGAAAGCUCCGGCGGAGAAGGAUGAGCUCGCGGCCUAUCAGCUAGUUGGUGUGGGUAAUGGCCCACCAAGGCGACGACGGGUAGCCGGCCUGAGGAGGGUGACCCGGCCACACUGGGACUGAGACACGGCCCAGACCUCCGUACGGGAGCAG
Molecule: ribosomal RNA, 236 nt
Filed under: uncultured bacterium
Lineage: Bacteria
Description: partial 16S ribosomal RNA
Rfam family: Bacterial small subunit ribosomal RNA
Source: RNAcentral